UCGGUUUUGCUAUUUUUCAGUCGAGUGAUUUUCAAUUGGCUGUCAUUCAAUUUCUUGGCCGUCCGAUCGCGCGCUGCGAUUCGCGCCGAGCUGUGUGGUUUUCUGCCUGGUUUCCUUUGUCUCGGGUUCGGUUUUUCUUUGUUGGGCGGGUUUUAUUUGGGUCUGCCCGUUACUGGACGCCCGUGUUCCUUUUCCUUUCCCCCCUUUUGAAUUAUUCCCCAUUUUCAUUUGAGCGGUACUGUGUCGAAAUGGGCAGAGAGGUGAGCGGCGGAGGCGGCGAGGCGAUUUGUGUCUUGUUCAUGGCGUUUGCGAGACCUCUCUCUCCUCGUGCUUGAGUCUUCAGUGCUGUGUAUUCUACCCCAGAAUUGCAGUGUAACUUACCCUAGAAUGGCAGUGUAUCCCUUUGCUUCUUUUUACUGUAUUUACACUGUAUUUAACAUAUGAUUACAGUGUAACUCGCAGUUUUGUAAUUUCACUGUAUAUGUUGCUGCAAUUGCAGUGUAAUAUAACCUAAUUACAGUGUAAUUUUAUAAUUACAGUAUAAAUUUUCCCAUAAUUACAGUGUAAUCUUGCCCCAGUUUCACUGUAAUUUACACUGUAAAUUUCCCCAUAAUUAGAGUAUAAACGGCAGAUUUUCAGUGUAUUUUUGCCUCUAUAUAUCUUUUGUGUUGUUGCGGUGCAUUACAAUGUAAUUUUCAUAGUUCACUAGAGUUUUAGAGUGUAAUUCCCUACACUGUAAGUUGUGUGUUUGAGGGCUUACAAUGUAAUUCCCUAUUUGAACUUA
This is a non-coding RNA of Aegilops tauschii subsp. strangulata, 784 nucleotides long. Lineage: Eukaryota; Viridiplantae; Streptophyta; Magnoliopsida; Poales; Poaceae. The record is from RefSeq and is a predicted model, not a curated record.